Molecule: ribosomal RNA, 462 nt
Filed under: uncultured bacterium
Lineage: Bacteria
Description: partial 16S ribosomal RNA
Rfam family: Bacterial small subunit ribosomal RNA
Source: RNAcentral
CGAACGCUGGCGGCGUGCUUAACACAUGCAAGUCGAACGGAAAGGCCCCUUUGGGGGUCCUCGAGUGGCGAACGGGUGAGUAACACGUGAGUAACCUGCCCUUGACUUCGGGAUAACUUCAGGAAACUGGGGCUAAUACCGGAUAGGAAUCCUUGCUGCAUGGUGGGGGUUGGAAAGCUUCGGCGGUUUUGGAUGGACUCGCGGCUUAUCAGCUUGUUGGUGGGGUAGUGGCUUACCAAGGCUUUGACGGGUAGCCGGCCUGAGAGGGCGACCGGCCACAUUGGGACUGAGAUACGGCCCAGACUCCUACGGGAGGCAGCAGUGGGGAAUAUUGCACAAUGGGCGGAAGCCUGAUGCAGCAACGCCGCGUGCGGGAUGACGGCCUUCGGGUUGUAAACCGCUUUCAGCAGGGGCGAAGCUUGUGGUGACGGUACCUGCAGAAGAAGCACCGGCGAACUACGU